GGCAAGGGCGUGGAGGUCCAACCAGGAUCACAAGGCUGAUUGGGAUCACUUGCUUCUGUCAUUCUUUUCUAAAGCUCUUGAGCUUUUGUGAGGAGAAACCUGAGGGGACAGAGCUAGCGCCGAAGAGAGUCGCCUGCCCAGAUCUGAUCAAGACACAAGUGAGAGGCAAUGAUUUGUGAAGAAAUCCUGGUCCUGGCGAAUGGAAUUUUCCCAAAAUAAAUUCAUGUAAACAACUUCCCACAAAGAGGCAGUCAGGGGAGCUGGGAGUAUAAACAGUGGGAACAGUUGUAAGCACUAUGGGCUCCAGGGGUGCCCUGUCGUCUGGAGGGGGGCUGUGGGGAGACUCCCUUUAGCAAAACACCUUUGGCUCCAGUCCUUCUGACAUCAUAAUGUCAGCCAAUUCAUUAAAAAAAAAGAAGGUCCUUAUUUUAGUAUCAUCCCCCAAACAUAGCAUGGCCACUUGGUAGCUAAAGAUGGAUUUUACUUAAAAAUUUUUUAGCCUAUUUCAAACCAAAUCAACUGGGAAGAAGGCAUGCUUGUGUAGAGGUGGGAACUGAGUUGGGGCCUUUGGAGAAGAUGGAAGGAAAGGGUGGCUAGGGAAAUAGAAAUAAUGUCAUUUUGGUGCUCUGGGACGGAAUCAGAGCGAACACAUCAUUCCUAGAAUUAAGACGAGAUCUGCUCUUUGGUAGACACUCAGAAGGACACUGAAUUCCUGUGGCCCGGAUGUCUCUGGCUGUGGACCAAUGGGGGCCUGUGGAAAGCUAGAGGGCGUAGAGUUGAGCAGCCCGAGUUUCCGGAACGAAGUGUUUGCGGGGCAUCUUCGUGGGACACGCCUUUCCCCCAGACAUUUUUCCCCAACCAAGUCUGACUUGCCCAAACCCGAGCUGUUUUCAGGAUCUGGGUUGGAUGAUGUUUCCUUCCUCCCGUAACCAUGGCCUAGAGACAGGAGACACACACUCGAGUUUGGCUGGGCCACUGUGACACUAUUGUAAGACUUCCAGCCACUCAUCUCAUUUCUCAGAGCCUCAGAUCCCUCAUGCACAGAGUGAGGGUCCGGAAAAGCCGUUUCAGCCCCGUGUGCUUCCCACGACUGCAAAGAUCAGGUUGGGAGGGAGCUUCGAGACUCUGGGGUUUUAUCUGUUAUCACGAGUAUCAUUCCAACUUUGCUUAAGUUCUAUCUGGGAUCAGUUGAGUUUUGGCGAGAAUUCACCUCUCUAUGCAAUAAUCAGGACCAAGGAACCAGGAGAGGAGGGUGCCUGAGCCACUGGAGCUAAGAAGGGCCAGAGAGAAGAGGAGGCCAAUAGGACAUCAGGAUUUCUCUGCCAGCCUUUUCUGGUAGCCAAGUUUCAAUCUGUGUCUGCCUGACUGUGAGUUUUCAUUGUCUACCUCCUGGGCAGAAGGACUGGGUAGUCCCACUUUCCCAUGUGACUCUACAGUAUCCUCCCCCUCCCAGCCAUACUGGCUUAGCUACCUGAUUUGUUUGGCCCAAUGAGAUGCUAGAGGCAUGUUCACAGGCCCAAAGUAUUCUUGUGCAACGUGGCCUCUGGUGCUCCUGGGAUCUGCUGUGAGAACAUUCCCUGGUUACUGCAGGUCCAAGAAGAAUGCGUGGGGCCACGGAUAGCUCUGAACCCAGCCCAAAGCUCAGAGACAAGCCAGCUGACCCGCAGCCAACUCAUCUGAGAGUGACACAAAUAAGUGGUUGUUACUGUAGGUCACUGAGCUCUGGGAAGGGCUAUGACGGUGCAUUCUUGCUGGUAGAUAGUCUGAUAAUGGCAAUGAGGCUAACACUUGCAUAAUUCCGUGGCAACUGAGACUUGCAAGUGAAGAUGUGGUUUUGAUGUGCAUGUUUCCGUUAACACGGUACCAUGGAAAUUGAGAAGGCCUGUACUAAUUAGAAGCUGCCCCUAUAGAAAAUAUUAUGUCUCCUGCAAAGGGUGAAGAGUAUGUAUAAGACACUGUGCAGUUUCAUGAGUAGUAUGUGUAAGACACUGUGCAGUUUCAUGAGUAGAAGAACUUAGUUGCUCUGAAGUCAGACUGCCUCUAGCUGGAAUGUUGGCUUUGCUACAUCAAAUUGUGAAUUUAGGUAAGAGACUGUUUUCCUGGGUCUUAGGUGCUGCGUCUUUAAAGUUUUUUUUUAUUGUUGUUUGUUUUUUUGAGACAGGGUUUCUCUGUGUAGCCCUGGCUGUCCUGGAACUCACUCUGUAGACCAGCUGGCCUCGAACUCAGAGAUCCGCUUGCCUCUGCCUUCUGAGUGUUGGGACUAAAGGCAUGUGUUGCAAUGCCUAGGGGCAUUUCAACUUUUAAAUAAGGAUUGUGACCAUUUUUAUGAGAAGGGCAUGUUGUAUGGACAUUUCUGGUGUAACACCUUCUACCUGGUGAGUACUUAAUAAAGCCCAUUGAUUUUUA
This is a long non-coding RNA of Mesocricetus auratus (golden hamster), 2406 nucleotides long. RefSeq lists it as uncharacterized. The transcript is spliced from 2 exons. The record is from RefSeq and is a predicted model, not a curated record. NCBI's taxonomy places the organism in Eukaryota, Metazoa, Chordata, Mammalia, Rodentia, Cricetidae.